Molecule: long non-coding RNA, 638 nt
Filed under: Vicia faba (fava bean)
Lineage: Eukaryota; Viridiplantae; Streptophyta; Magnoliopsida; Fabales; Fabaceae
Source: RNAcentral
AUGCUCAAGUACUUAUUACCUCUUGGGUUGUAAUUGCUAUCUUAUUAAUUUCAACCAUUCUAGUUGUUAGAAAUCCGCAAACUAUUCCCACGUCUGGUCAGAAUUUUUUUGAAUAUGUCCUUGAAUUCAUUCGAGACGUGAGCAAAACUCAGAUUGGAGAAGAAUAUGGUCCAUGGGUUCCGUUUAUUGGAACUCUGUUUCUAUUUAUUUUUGUUUCGAAUUGGUCAGGGGCCCUUUUGCCUUGGAAAAUUAUAAAGUUACCUCAUGGAGAGUUAGCUGCACCCACAAAUGAUAUAAAUACUACUGUUGCAUUAGCUUUACUUACGUCAGUAGCCUAUUUCUAUGCGGGUAUUUCAAAAAAGGGAUUGGCCUAUUUUGGUAAAUACAUCCAACCAACGCCAAUCCUUUUACCGAUUAACAUCUUAGAAGAUUUCACAAAACCCUUAUCGCUUAGUUUUCGACUUUUUGGAAAUAUAUUAGCGGAUGAAUUAGUAGUUGUUGUUCUUGUUUCGUUAGUACCUUUAGUAGUUCCUAUACCUGUUAUGUUCCUUGGAUUAUUUACAAGUGGUAUUCAAGCUCUUAUUUUCGCUACUUUAGCUGCGGCGUAUAUAGGUGAAUCCAUGGAAGGGCAUCAUUGA